This 1586-nucleotide long non-coding RNA is filed under the name Homo sapiens (human). RNAcentral describes it as "HSALNT0330714". The record is from RNAcentral. Lineage: Eukaryota; Metazoa; Chordata; Mammalia; Primates; Hominidae.
GUCGGAACAGAAGCAGCAGCAGGAAUGUUGCUAGGCAAAAAGGUUCUGAUGACAAUGAUGGAGAUUGCAAAUUAUGAUUAGUGCAAACCCAGGAUGUGUCAUCAGCUUAGGAUUCUGUUAUUUACUUAAUUUGAGCCUAAUGAUAUGAAACAUCGUUGUAAUGUUGAAGUUUUCUUAUCCUUUUCAAGGUGCUUCAAUUCCCUGAGGAAAGAGGCAAGCAGAUGGAAUAUUUCAGGCUGCAGACAUAGAAGAACGAGAUAGAAAUAUGCUCUCUGUCCUUGAUGUGAAGAUUCUGUCACUUUUAAUUCUCCAUCUUAUUUACUUUUCUACUACAUAAGAACUGGGGCUUGUUUUAGCAGCAUUGAUUAAGUUGUCAUUGAUUUUCAAGAUAGGAAAUAGAACUUUCAAAUUUCCCACAUGAAUUUUAAAUAAGUCAGAUAUUAACAACAAGAUAAAACAUUUACCAUGGCAAUGACAGAAUAGUCAAGUAUCAUUCAAAACCUUUCAAGGCUCACAAAGAGCAUAUGGAUUCUAGAUGUCAAUACAUACAUGACUAGAACUUACCUGGAGACACACAGCCAGCAAGAUGAGCAUCUGGAGCAGAGAGGCUCUGCUCCUAGUGGGUAGACAAAAGAAAAGCAGAAAAAGAUGACAACACAACGGGCUGAAAUGACCAUAAUACCGGUAUGUGCCAGGUACUGAGAGAGGACGAAGGCUUCACGAGCGUGUUUGAAACCAAGACUUGAUAGGAAUUUUACUUUAACGGAAGAUAGCGGUGAGGGCUUGAACACUAAGGAAUUAAUGAGAGAUCAGCCCCUUUAGCGACUCAAAGCAUAUUAUAACUCCAGCUGGUCAAAAAGAGAGGAAAUAAAUAAUAUAACAGGAACAACUGGAAGAGCAAGUGCAGCAUCAGGUUGGUGCAUUUCUUCUGAUCAAAAGGUCGAAUUGCAACUGGUCUUUGAAGAGUGUGCUGGUGACAGUGUGCAACCUUUGCAGUAGCUCCUGGACUGGCCCUAGACUGCUGUCAAAUUAAACCAGCACUGUAAAGAAGAGAGCAAGUUGAAUGAAGUUGAAUGAAGGGGCAUCUUAAUUCCAAUCCUGGCUCUAAUGCUGACUGUAAGCAUGACCCCGGAUGAGUUAUUCACUCUCUCAGUCUCAGUCUCCUCAUCCACAAAGCAGGGAUCACAAUAAAUGAAUAGCACCUUUCACAGAACCCACCAUAUAUACUGAGUGUUCAAUAAAUACCGUGUUCAUCAUCUAACAUCAUAACACAUUGAGCAUCCAUCAAAGCAGAAGUAGUUCGCACCUGGAUAUUUCUGUUUCUUUUUUUUUUUUUGCUAUCCUACUGGUGUUUUACUUAAAUUUAGUGUGGUAAUAUGAAAGAAAAUUACUGCUCUUCUGCUAUUUAGUUAGCAUUUUUAUGCUUUUUAAAAAAUAUUGCAAUAAAAUUAAUAAAAUUUGAAUUCAGUCUUUCCUAUUUAACUAAUAUUAUCUAAAAAUAACUACCUCCCAGGACCACAUUAUACAACAACAUAUAGUAGCUACCUAGGGGCAGCUAUCUUAAUUGUUGAGAAAAUUCUACAAAG